This 28-nucleotide small RNA is filed under the name Bombyx mori (domestic silkworm). RNAcentral describes it as "piRNA piR-bmo-1982912". The record is from RNAcentral. Lineage: Eukaryota; Metazoa; Arthropoda; Insecta; Lepidoptera; Bombycidae.
UUUCCCACUGCAUUUACCGCGACGCUGA